RNAcentral lists this ribosomal RNA (400 nucleotides) under Leifsonia sp. AN13. RNAcentral's name for it is "bacterial SSU rRNA". It matches the Rfam family "Bacterial small subunit ribosomal RNA", at positions 997 to 1397 of the family's 1533-position model. The record is from RNAcentral. Lineage: Bacteria; Bacillati; Actinomycetota; Actinomycetes; Micrococcales; Microbacteriaceae.
GGGCCAGAAAUGGUCAACUCUUUGGACACUCGUGAACAGGUGGUGCAUGGUUGUCGUCAGCUCGUGUCGUGAGAUGUUGGGUUAAGUCCCGCAACGAGCGCACCCUCGUUCUAUGUUGCCAGCGCAGUAAUGGCGGGAACUCAUAGGAGACUGCCGGGGUCAACUCGGAGGAAGGUGGCGAUGACGUCAAAUCAUCAUGCCCCUUAUGUCUUGGGCUUCACGCAUGCUACAAUGGCCGGUACAAAGGGCUGCAAUACCGUAAGGUGGAGCGAAUCCCAAAAAGCCGGUCUCAGUUCGGAUUGAGGUCUGCAACUCGACCUCAUGAAGUCGGAGUCGCUAGUAAUCGCAGAUCAGCAACGCUGCGGUGAAUACGUUCCCGGGCCUUGUACACACCGCCCGA